GGACAGGGAGACAGGUGGUGCAUGGUUGUCGUCAGCUCGUGUCGUGAGAUGUUGGGUUAAGUCCCGCAACGAGCGCAACCCCUGUGGUUAGUUGCCAGCAAGUAGCGUUGGGCACUCUAGCCAGACUGCCGGUGAUAAAUCGGAGGAAGGUGGGGACGACGUCAAAUCAUCAUGCCCUUUAUGUCCUGGGCUACACACGUACUACAAUGGCCGUUACAACGGGAAGCGAAGGAGCAAUCCGGAGCAAAUCCCUUAAAGGCGGUCCCAGUUCAGAUUGUGGGCUGAAACUCGCCCACAUGAAGGCGGAAUUGCUAGUAAUUGCAGAUCAGCAUGCUGCAGUGAAUACGUUCCCGGGCCUU
This 359-nucleotide ribosomal RNA is filed under the name uncultured Paenibacillus sp. RNAcentral describes it as "bacterial SSU rRNA". It matches the Rfam family "Bacterial small subunit ribosomal RNA", at positions 1024 to 1382 of the family's 1533-position model. Lineage: Bacteria; Bacillati; Bacillota; Bacilli; Caryophanales; Paenibacillaceae. The record is from RNAcentral.